UACGAAGGGGGCUAGCGUUGUUCGGAAUUACUGGGCGUAAAGCGCACGUAGGCGGAUAUUUAAGUCUGAUGUGAAAGCCCGGGGCUCACCCCCGGAAGUGCAUCGGAUACUGGGAGGCUCGAGUACCGGAGAGGAGGGUGGAAUUCUCGGUGUAGCGGUGAAAUGCGUAGAUAUCGAGAGGAACACCUGCGGCGAAGGCGGGUUGCUGGGCUGACACUGACGCUGAGGCGCGAAAGCCAGGGGAGCGAACGGG
Molecule: ribosomal RNA, 253 nt
Filed under: uncultured bacterium
Lineage: Bacteria
Description: partial 16S ribosomal RNA
Rfam family: Bacterial small subunit ribosomal RNA
Source: RNAcentral